Molecule: RNA transcript, 7086 nt
Organism: Prinia subflava (tawny-flanked prinia)
Lineage: Eukaryota; Metazoa; Chordata; Aves; Passeriformes; Cisticolidae
Gene: MYZAP
Gene name: myocardial zonula adherens protein
Exons: 14
Source: RefSeq, a predicted model, not a curated record
CUGCGCUCCGACACCCAAUAUCCCCGUGAGCAGAGGGAAUGCCACCCCGCACCGGCAGCUCAGCGUCCCGCCGCGACUUUGCCCAGUGUCACCCGCACGAGGAAAUCGGGCAGUGCGGUGGCGCGGGAGCCGCGCGUCCGGCGGGGCGGAGGGGGAGCGGAGCCCCGCGCAGCCCGGCCCGCCCCCGCCCGGCCCCUGCGGCCGCCCGCGGCCAAGUGCGCGGGGCGGAGCGGCGGCGCCGGCCCGAGAGCCGCAGAGAGCGCCGGCCGGCGGCCCGUGGGGAUGCUGCGCUACAGCUCGGGGCUCACGGUCACCGCCACCACCCCCCGGAGGCCGCCCGGCGACGGCGGCCGCUCCCGGCGGAAGAUGAACGUGUGUAGGCUACGCUUAACAGUGCCACCGGAUGAAGUGUCACAGCCUGAACAGGGACCAAAGGAAACUGAGAGAAAGAAAAGUGAGCUCUACCAUGUACCAAAUGGGAUGUCUCCAGGGAAGCUCUCUCAUGGGAUGGUGUAUGGUGUUGUGCACCGAACUGACAACAACCAUAAAAGAGAAAUGGUGGUUUAUGGCUGGUCAGCUGAUCAGCUGAAAGAGGAGAUGAACUACAUUAAAGAAGUGAGAGCAACUCUGGAAAAAGUAAGAAAGAAAAUGUAUGGUGAAUAUGAUGAAAUGAAACGAAAAAUACAGCAGCUUACAAAUGAACUGAAAGUGACAAAUGCUCAUCAGGAAUCCUUAGAGAAUCAUGUGCGAGUGCAGGCUGCAGCCUUAGAUAGCUUUAGCGAAAUGAACAGCUCCCUGACAUCAGCAUCAAUAGACUUGCAGAAAACUCUAGUGGAUGUUACAUUGGAGAACACUGACAUAAGGGAACAAAUAAGGAAUUUAAAACAUACACACGAGCAAUCUAUGGAAAAGCUGAGAGAGAAGCAAAAGCAACUGGAGACGGCACAAAUUGAAAAUCAGUUACUGAAGUUAAAGGUGGAAUCCUCGCAGGAAGCCAAUGCUGAGGUCAUGAGAGAGAUGACCAGAAAGCUGUACAGUCAGUAUGAGGAGAAAAUGCGGGAAGAGGAACAGAAGCACAAGGCUGAGAAAGAAAUGCUCCUGGAGGAAACAAACCGGCUUCUGAAGGCUAUUGAAGAGGCAAAUAAGAAGAUGCAGAUUACAGAAACAAGCAUACAGGAGAAAGACCAGAGGAUUGGUGAGCUGGACCGGCUGAUUGAGUGCAUGGAAGAGGAACGUCACCAGCUGAAAAAACAACUUGAAUUAAAUGAACUACAAAUAUCUGGAGCAAAAUCUGAAAACAACUCUGACAGUGAAAGGUCGCAGCACUUGGAGGAGGUGGCAGCCAGCCUGAGGGAGCGGAUCAAGCAUCUGGAUGACAUGGUCCACUGCCAGCAGAAGAAAGUCAAGCAUAUGGUUGAGGAGAUUGAAAUGCUAAGGAAGAAAGUAAAAGAAAAGGAAUUAUUUAUAAUACAGCUUUUAGACAAAAUCUCUUUCUUAGAAUGUGAGAAUAAAGAAUUACAAGAUAAACUGGACUACUUAAUGGAAAACCAACCAAAGACCAAUAUAGAAACCAGAGAUACUGGUGUAGAAUGUGAUCUUCCAUACAGCACAAGCACUGAGAGCAGAUCUCCUGAAAGCCUGCGGCCAGUGAGGACGUACACCCCGUUCAAGAGAGUGCUGGAGUUCAGCACCAAGAGCAGUACAUCCUGAGCAUUCACCUCAUCCAGCUUGCUAAAUACAAACAGAUCUCUUGCGCCUUUGCAGCUUGGUUAGAUAAAUUUUAUCAGUUCAUAGAGAAGAGCAGCAGCAUGGACUCUUGCUAGAUUUAUCCUGAAAGCAGCUCUUUAGUAACUUUAUCCCUGAAGUUACUAGUGAUGUUAAUGUGAGAGGAUAGGGAAGCAGCAGGCUGAGUGAGGCAGCAGUCAGGCAGUACUGCCUCUUUAGAAGCUGCCUAGUGCAAUGUGUCAUUUCAAAUGCCUAUAUGAAGGACUUGUAUAGCUGUACAGUUGGUUUUUUCCCUCAGUUGUGUUGUAAUUCUGUUUGUGUAAUGAAGCUGUAAUAUUGUGUUGUCAGUACUACUGGAGCAGUACCUGAAGUUGUGCUGGCAGAGGGAAUUCGUGUGGAAGUUCUGAAUCUGCCCAGACUGAGGGUGGCUCACACCUGUCCCAGAGACCUGGUACAGCUGAGGGCUGUCUUCACCUGGGAGCAGCUCUUCUGUACCCAGCACUCUUUGUCUGGGAGGGAGAGAUGAACUGGGCUGUCUAAAACCAUUCCCUCAACACAGGGCAGAUGAAUAUUGUGUUUGCUGCUCAAAACAGUAAGGGAUAGAGCAGAUUAUGAUGGAAUUUGCUUUGUUGGACUGAGGCACUGGUUUGCACUUCCUCAGUCAUGGAACAGAGUGACCAUGGGUGACACAUUCAGUAGUAAUUGUGUAGGAAAAUCCCUGAUGCUUUGUUUAUUUACUUUUCCAUUUGAGGAAGGAGUUUCAUUAAACAAAAGUUUGCCUACUGCAACCUGCAGCAGUCCUUACAAUUCCAACAGCAACAGCAAUCCUGAUUCAGGAUUUGGGGGAUUGAGUACUAUUUGUUUGUCCAAAGCACUUAAAAUCUUGUCUUUGGCUCUAAAGUAGGAACAGGAAUGACUGUACCUAGUACUGAACUAAUUUAAAUAUAUAUAUAUAGGGUAUUACUUACAUCUUGUUUUGAUCUUCCACUCUUAGUGAAUUUAAAAUGAAUUAGGGAUAUUUUAUUUUAAUUCUGUUAACAUGAAUGAAGGACCUUGUUUUUUUUAAACUACAGUACCUGUAACAGAAAACAAACAACUUCGGUUCCGUAUGAUCAAUAUUAUUCUUGCAUGCAGUGUCAAUCCCAGGUGUUCACCUUGCCACAAAGCUUCCCAAAGGGAUUGCUUUGAUCUCCAGCCUAAUGCAAUUCAGUCCUGUCUAUUCAAAUCAAGUACACCUACUAAAGUUGUAUUUCAAGUGAUAAUGUUGAUCUCAUACUGAACAAGAAGAUGAGUAAUAACUCUGAUUUCAGGGAUAAGCUUUGUACCUGUGAAAUCUUAUCUCCAUCUAGUGGCUGAUAACAGCAAAUAUUUGGACAGUAUCUGUUUUUGAAGAGAAAGACACUGAAAACUAAUCCAAACAGGUACAUAAUGUCCAUUAGGGAUUCAACUUUAGGUCUUACAGAAUGUCCUUUAGCAUUUCUGUGCCCAAAGAGUCCCUCUGUAAUUCAGGACUUGAAUUCUGAACCAUAGUUUGUGAAAAUUACUUUCAAACUUAAAAUGAGUAGAUGAAGGUGGUAUUUUUAGAUAAAUGGAAAUGUAGGUUGUUGUACAAGACAUUAACUGGCAAGUUUAAAAAAGUGAAAAUCCUUUACCCCUCUGAUUUUGGCCAGAAUUCAGAAAACCUGAUGACUGUGAGGUGCUCAGUGAACGGUAAUAGGGGCCAGGAAGUAUCAAAAUGCUGUUUUGACACAGACUCAAAGGAAGUUCACUCUACUUUCAAUAUACUCCUGAGGAUCUUCUGAAAAUGCUGCAAGCUGGUUUUUAACUCUGAGACUUGCAACAUUAUGAUAAUCUGCUCAAGACUUUACCAGGAAUGCAGCAAGGCCUUAAGUUUUUACUGUAAAGGUGUUCUGUGUAAAUUUUGUCUUGACUGAUGAAAUGCGGUAUUUUUUUGUAAACCAAAUAAGGACUGAAGUCGAAGCUGUAUUUUAAGAGCAUUUUGACAUGCAGUGAGCUGGAUGACCAUCACUUGAUUGGACUACUGCUCCAAAUGUGGUAACUGUGAAGAACAGGAGAGGAACUGUAUUUAUAUCAUUGUGUUACAUGAAAAUGUAGAGCUUUCCAGUCAAAUGAGCAGUAAUGUAAAUUAGCAUAGAUAAUAACAAAACCUGACUGAAAAGACUGUAACACUUCUGUAUAAAUUUUCUCAAUUUGAGACUGAGUUAAUUAGUACUAUCACAUUAAAAAUUAGUAGAAUUUCUGUAAACAGCAAUAAAAGCCAUAUAGGAAGGGCCCAUAAAGUACACUAAAUGUAAGUCAAUUGUAUGACUGCAUUUGUACCAUGAUAAGUAUUCCUUUGUGAUUUAUUCCAGAUACUCUGGAAAGUAUUUUGGGAUACACUUUUCAUAUAUGCUGUACAAAUAAUGUAUUACAUUGUAUGCUUUUAAUACAUCCGGUAUGCAGGACGUGAAAAGGAUAAAUUGCAAUAAACACUCUAUUUAAACUUGUUGUUCUGUUGUGUCAACAAUCUUUUAGAGAUAAACCUACCUUAAAACAUUGCAGACUGUUACUGUUCACAACCUUGUUUGUUCCAAGCACGUGGGAAUGGAAAGCGGCUCCCGCGGAGCCUCGAUGUUCUCGUCGGUGUUUCCCUUGGCAGACGGGCUCUUGAGAACAGGAAGGCACUCCCUGGCUGAAGACUUUCUCAAAGCCAAGUCACAAAAGCAGAUGAAAUAAAAAACUAUUGACUUGCACAGGAUAAACAAAAACCGGGCAGCGUAGCUCUUGGAAAAAACCAACAACUUCAGAUCCUCCAGAUAACAUCUGAAUCCAUCUGGGAUGACGUUCUCCAGUCUUCAGCAGGAUGGGACUGGGAUGGCUCUGGCCCAUCUUUAUUUACAGUUUAUAUCCACUUACGGAUAAUACAGAUUUAUUUUUAAGGCUAUAAAAAUAAAGCAGUCUAUGUGUCAACUAAAGAAGAGGUUGUGCAAACAUGACAAUCACAGUGUCACAGGUUUGUAAUGCUCAGAGGAAGAAUGUCAUGUUUUUAACUCAAACAAUGCUUCCCUAUUUAUGUGUAUUCAGCUCAGAUUGCCAACAAGCCCUGAUAAAAUCUUGUUGAGAUUGGCAGUGCCUGGUGCUGAACCCACAACAGGGGAUUCCUGGGAGCUGGAUACCAGUGCUUUUGAGAGCUCUAAAUACCUGACAUCUGAAAACUUCUGCAUAUGGACAGAUGAGAAGUAAGUUCUGUGUGCAGAAGUCUGUAAUUCUGCACAGGAAAUCCCUGCUCCACAGAACGGAGAUGUACAUGCUGAGAGUUUCAUUCCACUUAUAUUUUACUUCAUUCUUGUUCAGCCCCUGGGGCUAUUUCCAUGUGUAAAAGAAGAAAAGUGCAUGAGAGACCUGAAUUAAGGCCCUUCCAGCCUUACCUGAAGCACAACAUGGAAGGAACACAAGAGAAUAAGGACACAGGAGCCAUUUACAACUCAAGUUGAUGCUGUCUCAGUAUCUGGAUACUGCCCACCUGCUCAUAACCAAGAAUCUGUUUGUUCCAGCGCCUUCCACAUUUCAGCUAUUUGUUCAUCAUCCUGGAACUGUGGGUUACCUGUAAACAGACAAUGUUACUCCAAAAUUCAACACUCCUGAACUGUAAUGAUGAAUAAUAUUCCUUCCCAGUGAACUUGGACAAAUACAGAUUUAAUGAACAGGAUUCCAAGUGAGGUACAGAAUGAUGAGUUGUGAUUCCCAGAAACCAUGUUAUUAACACUUCAUUCUCUUAAUACUUUGCUCUACUUUUUUCUGUGUUUAUUCAGUUCAGCACAUAAAUGGAACCCACUGUAAAUACUGGCAUUGCUAUUCUGUACAUAUCAUAAAGCAGAGGAACAUUUUGUAAGAGCAGUAGUCUAAUAAGAUUAUUCCUUCUAGAUUGUCAUUCCCCUGCUGGCAGGAGUGGUUUCCAUGCCCAGGGUUGCCACUCUCUCCUAUCUGCAGGAUCUAGUGUUCCUUCUUGCAAGAUGCAGAAAUGUGACACAAAUUACUUAAAUCGGCUUAACAGAGGCAGCAAUUCAAAGGACUUGUGUCCUGUAACUGAGGGGGAUCUCCCAGUGAGAAAAACUCAGUGAUUUCCCUGAACUCUCAGGCAAAGCUCCCCCAAGGGAUCUUCCACAGAUGAUCCAGGUAGUGCACAACAGACAGUGAAAUGGUCUCUUCAAGUAGUCACUGGAUGGGUUUUCUCACCCUGACUGCGGUGUUUUUUCCAUGGGUAGCUGCCUGUUGGAUUUAUCUCAUUUCCCCCGGCCCUCAGCCCUUCCCUCGGCCGCCCAGCUGCGCAAACAGAGGGGCAGGCGGACAUUUCGGAGCGCUUCCUUCUCCAGUCCCCCGGCUUGGCACUGCCUCAGUCCUGCUCACAGAACCAGCAGGGCUUUAGCAGUCCCUGCCAAAUGUGCCUCGGACCGAGACACCGCCGCUGCCAUCAGCUUCAAAAGCUGCCAGCGGGGAAUCGCCAUUCCCUAAUGCCCCACUGCGGCUACUGCGUGUGCCAGCUCAGAGCUCCGGAGUCAGUGCCGGCCCACAGCCCCAAACUCCUGCUGGAAUUCCUUCUGGAAUUCCUUCUGAAAUUCCUUCUGGAUUUCCUUCUGAAAUUCCUUCUGGAAUUCCUUCUGGGACCCUUCCGGGGGUGCUGUGGCCCCCCUGGAGCCCCGGCCGGACCUGCCCGCACAGGCACGAACACAGCGUCAGGCACCUGUGACCCUGCAGUAAAAUUCGGCUGAUUAUUCACUUAAAACAUAUCGCUGGAGCAUAUCCAUUGAAAGAUGCGUAUUUCACAAGAAAAUCUAUUUAGAUUUUAAAAUAUAGUAAAUGUGGAAUAACAUAGGUAAGGAACCCUCUGGAUUUUAAAGUUAUGCAUUGGCCAAAAAUGAUAGAAAUUCCCAGAAUUUUGAGAGAAAAAAUUGUUUUCAUACUUUCUUAACAAGUUUCACAGACAAAAGAUGUUGAAAAACGUAGAUAGAAUACCAGAUUGGUCUCUGGGGAGGGGAAAAGGUGAGAGUCUGCUGAAGUGCUAACCCAAACAAUUGCUAAAAGGUGUCAAUUUGCUCUCAAACUCAAACCCACAGCCUUUGUGCGGGACUCCGCGUGUCACUCGCGCCGUGCAGGGCACAAACCGCACUUUUCCCAAUUCCCGCAGGAUAAAGGCGAGUCCCCAGCGGGGUGAGCCCGGCCCCGGCCCCCAGCCCGGCCUCCCCCAGGGCUGUCCCGGGCGGGCCGCGGGACCCUUCGCGUUCCGAGCAAGUCUGGCCCUGCCGCCGCGCCGUCGCUUCCGGCAAGAUGGCGGCCCGCGGGGCGCUGCCGGGUGCCCAUGGC